Molecule: long non-coding RNA, 1030 nt
Filed under: Marmota monax (woodchuck)
Lineage: Eukaryota; Metazoa; Chordata; Mammalia; Rodentia; Sciuridae
Source: RNAcentral
UAGGGAUGUAGUUCAGUUGGUAGAACGCUUGCCUAGUUUUUGCAAGGCUCUGGAUUUGCUCCCCAGCAUUAUUUAAAAAAUAAAAAUGACUGAUGGAAUUUUAAACUACAGUAAAGGAGCUACUAACUCAACUCUGCUUGUCAGAAUAGAAAAGAUUUAACCAGGAGAGAAAGCAAAGAGGAAAUUCCAGGCAUGGGAAUAGAAUGAGCAAAGAUUCUGGGUGAGGACUCUAUAGGAAGGGUAAAACUUCUGGCAUUGCUAGAGUUUAGGAACCUUAGAGGAACAAGAGUAAUAGCAUGAACAUGGCACUUCAAAUACAUUAGUAACUCUUAGCUUUGUAACAUCAGUCUAGUUGGCCUUGCUUCAUCCCCCACCCCCGUUUUUUCCAUUGUAAAUUAGGGUAGUGAGUUCUGAUGGAGGAUGUCACCAUUCUCUGUCCUGCCCUCUGCCUCUAGGAGCCUGAACUCAAAGGGCUUUCAUUCCUUUUACCUUCCAGUUGAGUUCAGGCAAUGUGGAGCAACAGCAGAACAAGAGAGGAGGGUUUGAGUAUUUUUUCCUGCAGGCUCUCUUACCAUGGCACCUCUGCAGGCUGGCUCCACUUGUUAACUAAAGGUCACUUACUUCCCCAUAAUGACCUAGAGUAGCCCCUCUCUGGUUUCAUUACAUUUUACCACCUUUGCAAAUAGUUUAUUUGUUGAACUCUGCCCAAAUUUUCCAGUAGGAAUGUGCCAUCCCAUUUCUCCAGGGACCUUACCAGAUAUAGUCCUUCAUUAACUUCACAGAGUUUGCUGAGAAAACAUGGUGAUGGUAUUAUUAAAAUGAUGUAUAACUUAUUGUCCAAACUUAAAAACUUUUGAGAUUGAAAAUGGGAUUUGGUGUUAUUAGUAACUACACUAGGACAGUAGACAAAAACAGGCCUCAUGGUCACCCCUGCUUUUGACAUGUGGUAGAAUUUCUCAAGGCAAGAGUGCUAAUUUGUCUUUUGACUUCUAGCACAUGGCCAAUAUUCAGUACAUGUUGAACAUUCAAC